This 429-nucleotide ribosomal RNA is filed under the name Gemmatimonadota bacterium. RNAcentral's name for it is "Gemmatimonadetes bacterium partial 16S ribosomal RNA". It matches the Rfam family "Bacterial small subunit ribosomal RNA", at positions 355 to 776 of the family's 1533-position model. The record is from RNAcentral. Lineage: Bacteria; Pseudomonadati; Gemmatimonadota.
UAGGGAAUCUUCGGCAAUGGACGAAAGUCUGACCGAGCAAUGCCGCGUGAGUGAAGAAGGUUUUCGGAUCGUAAAACUCUGUUGUUAGAGAAGAACAAGGACGUUAGUAACUGAACGUCCCCUGACGGUAUCUAACCAGAAAGCCACGGCUAACUACGUGCCAGCAGCCGCGGUAAUACGUAGGUGGCAAGCGUUGUCCGGAUUUAUUGGGCGUAAAGCGAGCGCAGGCGGCUUCUUAAGUCUGAUGUGAAAGCCCCCGGCUCAACCGGGGAGGGUCAUUGGAAACUGGGAGACUUGAGUGCAGAAGAGGAGAGUGGAAUUCCAUGUGUAGCGGUGAAAUGCGUAGAUAUAUGGAGGAACACCAGUGGCGAAGGCGGCUCUCUGGUCUGUAACUGACGCUGAGGCUCGAAAGCGUGGGGAGCAAACAGG